AGAGUUUGAUCCUGGCUCAGGAUGAACGCUAGCGGCAGGCUUAACACAUGCAAGUCGAGGGGUAACAGGGAAAAGCUUGCUUUUUUGCUGACGACCGGCGAACGGGUGCGUAACGCGUAUAGAAUCUGCCUUGUACAGGAGGAUAGCCUUUAGAAAUGAAGAUUAAUACUCCAUAAUGUAGAGUAGUGGCAUCGCUAUUUUAUUAAAGAUUUAUUGGUACAAGAUGACUAUGCGUCCUAUUAGCUAGAUGGUAAGGUAACGGCUUACCAUGGCGACGAUAGGUAGGGGGUCUGAGAGGAUUAUCCCCCACACUGGUACUGAGACACGGACCAGACUCCUACGGGAGGCAGCAGUGAGGAAUAUUGGUCAAUGGAGGCAACUCUGAACCAGCCAUGCCGCGUGCAGGAAGACUGCCCUAUGGGUUGUAAACUGCUUUUAUACAGGAAGAAACAGAUCUACGUGUAGGUCCUUGACGGUACUGUAAGAAUAGCACCGGCUAACUCCGUGCCAGCAGCCGCGGUAAUAC
Molecule: ribosomal RNA, 526 nt
Filed under: Tenacibaculum sp.
Lineage: Bacteria; Pseudomonadati; Bacteroidota; Flavobacteriia; Flavobacteriales; Flavobacteriaceae
Description: bacterial SSU rRNA
Rfam family: Bacterial small subunit ribosomal RNA
Source: RNAcentral